This 965-nucleotide non-coding RNA is filed under the name Pan troglodytes (chimpanzee). The record is from RNAcentral. Lineage: Eukaryota; Metazoa; Chordata; Mammalia; Primates; Hominidae.
GCUCACCUGCACCAGCCUCCGGAGCAGGGGGCUGCGGCUGCGGGCGCCGCUGCGCAGAAGUGCCGCCAGCACAGCCAUGGUCGCAGAGGGCUGACUAUCGGCUCCUCAGGCGUAGACUAGAGGCCUCCUCCCCAACCCCGCACCCCUAGCGGCCCGGCGCGGGCACCGCCCAUCCCGCCUCCUCCAAUAGUCGCCUCUCAGUCGGCGGCGAUUGGCCGGCAGCCAAGGGCGGGGCGGAGCCUGGCGCUGGGACACCGCAGCCUGGGCGAGGAAAGGUUGACGAGUGAAGGACGUGGAUGGAGACGCUGGCGCUGGGGUCAACGAGCACCUGACACGCCGCUGGUUCCCGUGUCCACCAAGUCUAACUUGCCGGGGCCGGUGGUUUAUGUAUAAGUAGAGCAAAUCAAAGUUUGGAUCAGCGCUCCUGAAGUUAGGCCAUGACCAAUCCACAAAGCAAGCUGUUACUCAUUUUACUCACUCCAGGACAUCACUAUUAAAGAUUUCUAAGCUUGGGUUUUAUCCCUGCUCGGCACCAAUUUUAAGUGUACGUUGGAGAGAAGAGACCUGAAUAAAGGAUGCCAACUGUGAUUCCAGACCUUUACAAACUGCUGGUGACUGAUUCAAACCUGAGGCUACAAAUCCCUAAUCAUGAGACCUUAAAAUACCAAAAUACUUCUAUGCUACAGAUUAAGAGAUCAGUUACAUAACUAUAUCAGAGCAGGAGAUUUCUGUGUUGUUUUUAAUAAAUUCAGAUAUGGCAUAAUAAAUAUUAGGUAUAUAAACAUUAAGUGUGUUAGUAAACACACAAUAUGUUUAGUAAACACACUUAAUAUGUUUGUUUUGCUAUUUUGGCUCUGCAAUCAUAAUGACCUACCUAUCUCCAUAAAUUUUUUAAACUAUUGAAGCAACAAUUAAUAUAAGCUUCAUUUUUCAAAACAAGCUCUCCAGCCAUAUUUAAAAAAAAA